Molecule: non-coding RNA, 1097 nt
Organism: Nelumbo nucifera (sacred lotus)
Lineage: Eukaryota; Viridiplantae; Streptophyta; Magnoliopsida; Proteales; Nelumbonaceae
Source: RefSeq, a predicted model, not a curated record
AUUAUGCAUUGUAAUUGGUUAUUGAUUAUUUGUUGAUACAUUAUCAUUAUUGUGUGUAGGUUAUAGACGUGUACGACAACCUAUUGCAAACAUGGAGUCACAAUUCAGUGAAAAUUCUGUACGUGCCUGCAGUGUCUCAAGUGAAAUACACUUUUUGCAAAUGCAAUGCUUUUUUGGUUUCCUUUACUUAGGGAUUUGCAACGAAUGGGAUGCUCAAGAAGUUGAAACCAUGGUUAGAACCAAUUGAGAAGAAGCGCGUGCAGAAAAUCUUCAUACCCAUUAAUGAUCACUAUCACUGGUAACUACUUGUCAUUGAUCUAGUACAGAAGAGGUUUCUCUCGUAUAGCUCUAUCCAUGGGGCAGUCUACAAGGCGUUUGCAGAUAAAAUGCAUCAAAUUUACAAGACGGUUCUCAGCAAUGUUAUUAGUGGCAUUGGUGGGUGGCCUCAUGAACCUGCCAUUUGGGCUCCCUGCUAGGAAGGUGGAGACGAUUGUGGUGUUUUUGUUAUCAAGUAUAUGGAUUGUCUGUCUAGGUCGGCGAUGCUUGAUUUCUCAUCGGUGCAUAUACUCAUUAUUAUGUAUAUGAUCUGAUGUUUAUGUUGUCCAUUAAUCCAAACUCAUGCACAUUUCGGGCGCUUUCAAAUCCAAGAGACGAUUGGAGUAAUUCGAUGGGAGAUCUGUGUUCAACUACUUCAGGGUAAACUAAGCAUCAUCAUCAAAAACCUAAUCAGUAUGGAAUAAAUCCAAUCAGCAAUUACUGAUUUGCCAAGAAGGAGGGAAGAUGAUGAAGGAGAGUAGGCAGAUGUUGGAAUACUUUCGACCUGCAACAAAUUCCAGGGACCAGUCCAAGUUUGUGGGUGAAUCAUUUAUCCUUCAAUAAGUAUGGGUUGAAAGAGGAGCAGUGUUGACAAUCAGAGAAACAACGAAACCAAUGUGAUGUUGCCAAAAGAGCUUGCAAGCCGCUCUACACAUGUCCACCCAUUAAACUGAAUAUAGUUGCAACUGAAGUACAUAGCGUUAAGUAAACAAAAAUUUGAGCAGCUUUACAAAGAAUAAGGAUGUCAAAUGUGUAAACUUCAUAAACAUUCUCGUUUAAGU